AACGCGUAAUCAACCUGCCCUUCAGAGGGGGAUAACAACGGGAAACCGUUGCUAAUACCGCGUACGAUUCAUAGACGGCAUCGUUUGUGAAUGAAAGGUGGCCUCUAUUUAUAAGCUAUCGCUGAAGGAGGGGAUUGCGUCUGAUUAGCUAGUUGGAGGGGUAACGGCCCACCAAGGCAAUGAUCAGUAGCCGGUCUGAGAGGAUGAACGGCCACAUUGGGACUGAGACACGGCCCAAACUCCUACGGGAGGCAGCAGCC
RNAcentral lists this ribosomal RNA (260 nucleotides) under uncultured Veillonella sp. RNAcentral describes it as "partial 16S ribosomal RNA". It matches the Rfam family "Bacterial small subunit ribosomal RNA", at positions 112 to 355 of the family's 1533-position model. The record is from RNAcentral. Lineage: Bacteria; Bacillati; Bacillota; Negativicutes; Veillonellales; Veillonellaceae.